AAUCUUCUGUUUUUACAGGGGUUCCAGUGCUUGUGACAUGGCAGCAACAGUUCUCAGAUGGAAAUCCGGAUUCGCUUCUCUUUUCCUUUUAAUAAAGAUGCGGUUCUAGUUGCUGUGGAUUGUCCUGUUUCAACAGAUUUGGUUGCGCGACUAUGAAGGCGAGGCCCGGCAUUCAGCGGUCGGACUCACAAAAGCCUGCAGGCAAGCGGAUAAAGGCUAUGUCUAAUGAGAGAGGAUUCUUCCACUACACUAGCUACCAACCACAGAGGAAAGAAAAAGCUAUUAUGGAUCUUUAAAAGAGUGGAAACUCUGGAUAGGUGUGCAGACACAGGGCUCAAAAGGAGUGAGGCACCUCCCUCUGUGACAGACCUUUGGUUCCUUCUCUGGGAACAAUAGAAGAACAAGCUUAAUCCUUGCCAGCUCAUAAUGAGCUAUAAGCUUUCCUUUCACAGCAAAAAUGUCCUUCCUUGCUUUGGUGCUAAUCAGGGACAAAUGCCCUGGUCCUUUUCAGAUCUCGCAAACUUCAUUCCUUUGCUGCCGCUCUCUUCUCUUGUCCUGCGUUUUUCAAGUGUCCUAGGUUGAAGAUGAGAUGGUGUUGAGAUCCGUGAGAACGUUUUGGGUCAACGUAUAGAAGCUUUGCGUUCAAGAGUCUGCGUUCGCAACUCAUCUUUCCAGUUGCAGAAAAACCAAGAGUUUGCUUCUUCCUGCAGUUGGGACAAUGAAGCAGGAACAUGAGGUUGGAGUUAUUCAUCAAUGUGAAAACAGCCAGGCUUUUUUGGUUGUAGUGCUUGGAGGAUUCAGCAGUUAAAUGCCUCUGCAGGCUGCAGCCGAGCAGAAAAACAGCCUAGGAAAAACAACAAAGAGCUCAAACCCCAUUCACACCGUGAAAGGACGAGCAUCAAGACCGCCGAUGAGGCAUGUAGCACACACAGGCUUUCUUCUUUCCCUGCACCGCACAAGAAGCGAGAGAGGUGUACGAGGAACCUAUUAAAGCAAAAUGACACGUAAUCGGCUUAUGGAGCCAGGCAAAAUGAAGAGUUCUGAGGCCCAAACCUCGCAUUACAGUUCAGCUCCCAGUGGUGCUUCCAGAUAACUCCAGGGGGCUACAGAAAACAUUCAUUUCAGUGAUGAAGGAUCUACAAACUGCUACAAAUUAAUACGCCAUCUAACUAUGGGGAAGUUUUAUGCCAAACAGCAUGACAAGACACACAAAACAACCCAAAACAGACAUUUAGGCCAUGUCUACACUAAUCUGGAGUCUUUUCUCCUAAAAUGCUUUCCGUCUGUACUACCUUUUUCAAGCAUUUGUAAAAAGUUGCUUAACCACGUUUAAAUGACUUGCACAUGAGUAAAACACAACGUGCCCUGACCUGUUUGCACAGUCCAAACAACAUGAAAACUGGGUUUUUA
This 1410-nucleotide long non-coding RNA is filed under the name Danio rerio (zebrafish). Its description in RNAcentral is "si:ch211-13a5.2 (ENSDARG00000099883.2)". The record is from RNAcentral. Lineage: Eukaryota; Metazoa; Chordata; Actinopteri; Cypriniformes; Danionidae.